GAUGAACGCUGACAGAAUGCUUAACACAUGCAAGUCUUUGGCGAAGCUGUGCUCGCACAGCCUAGCCAAGGCGGACGGGUGAGUAACGCGUAAGGAACUUGCCCUGCAGUCAGGGAUAACAGACGGAAACGACUGAUAAGACCUGGUAAAGUCAGGCGGACUCAUGUCCAGCCUGAUGAAAAGAGAUGCUGCAGGAGAGCCUUGCGUCCUAUUAGCUUGUUGGUGGGGUAACGGCCCACCAAGGCGAUGAUAGGUAGCCGGCCUGAGAGGGUGGGCGGCCACAAGGGGACUGAGAUACGGCCCUUACUCCUACGGGAGGCAGCAGUGGGGAAUAUUGGACAAUGGGGGCAACCCUGAUCCAGCAAUUCUGUGUGCACGAUGAAGGUUUUCGGAUUGUAAAGUGCUUUCAGCAGGGAAGAAAAAAAUGACGGUACCUGCAGAAGAAGCGACGGCUAAAUACGUG
Molecule: ribosomal RNA, 463 nt
Filed under: uncultured bacterium
Lineage: Bacteria
Description: partial 16S ribosomal RNA
Rfam family: Bacterial small subunit ribosomal RNA
Source: RNAcentral